This 596-nucleotide ribosomal RNA is filed under the name Fusarium verticillioides. RNAcentral's name for it is "eukaryotic LSU rRNA". The stretch from base 217 to 370 matches the Rfam family "5.8S ribosomal RNA". Lineage: Eukaryota; Fungi; Ascomycota; Sordariomycetes; Hypocreales; Nectriaceae. RNAcentral also lists the same sequence under 1 other name. The record is from RNAcentral.
CUUGGUCAUUUAGAGGAAGUAAAAGUCGUAACAAGGUCUCCGUUGGUGAACCAGCGGAGGGAUCAUUACCGAGUUUACAACUCCCAAACCCCUGUGAACAUACCACUUGUUGCCUCGGCGGAUCAGCCCGCUCCCGGUAAAACGGGACGGCCCGCCAGAGGACCCCUAAACUCUGUUUCUAUAUGUAACUUCUGAGUAAAACCAUAAAUAAAUCAAAACUUUCAACAACGGAUCUCUUGGUUCUGGCAUCGAUGAAGAACGCAGCAAAAUGCGAUAAGUAAUGUGAAUUGCAGAAUUCAGUGAAUCAUCGAAUCUUUGAACGCACAUUGCGCCCGCCAGUAUUCUGGCGGGCAUGCCUGUUCGAGCGUCAUUUCAACCCUCAAGCCCUCGGGUUUGGUGUUGGGGAUCGGCGAGCCCUUGCGGCAAGCCGGCCCCGAAAUCUAGUGGCGGUCUCGCUGCAGCCUCCAUUGCGUAGUAGUAAAACCCUCGCAACUGGAACGCGGCGCGGCCAAGCCGUUAAACCCCCAACUUCUGAAUGUUGACCUCGGAUCAGGUAGGAAUACCCGCUGAACUUAAGCAUAUCAAUAAGCGGAGGA